GAUGAACGCUGGCGGCGUGCCUAAUACAUGCAAGUCGAGCGAACGGACGAGAAGCUUGCUUCUCUGAUGUUAGCGGCGGACGGGUGAGUAACACGUGGAUAACCUACCUAUAAGACUGGGAUAACUUCGGGAAACCGGAGCUAAUACCGGAUGAUAUUUUGAACCGCAUGGUUCAAUAGUGAAAGACGGUCUUGCUGCCACUUAUAGAUGGAUCCGCGCUGCAUUAGCUAGUUGGUAAGGUAACGGCUUACCAAGGCAACGAUGCAUAGCCGACCUGAGAGGGUGAUCGGCCACACUGGAACUGAGACACGGUCCAGACUCCUACGGGAGGCAGCAGUAGGGAAUCUUCCGCAAUGGGCGAAAGCCUGACGGAGCAACGCCGCGUGAGUGAUGAAGGUCUUCGGAUCGUAAAACUCUGUUAUUAGGGAAGAACAUAUGUGUAAGUAACUGUGCACAUCUUGACGGUACCUAAUCAGAAAGCCACGGCUAACUACGUG
Molecule: ribosomal RNA, 497 nt
Filed under: uncultured bacterium
Lineage: Bacteria
Description: partial 16S ribosomal RNA
Rfam family: Bacterial small subunit ribosomal RNA
Source: RNAcentral